RNAcentral lists this ribosomal RNA (498 nucleotides) under uncultured bacterium. Its description in RNAcentral is "partial 16S ribosomal RNA". It matches the Rfam family "Bacterial small subunit ribosomal RNA", at positions 28 to 507 of the family's 1533-position model. The record is from RNAcentral.
GACGAACGCUAGCGGCGUGCCUAAUACAUGCAAGUCGAGCGGACGAAUCGAAAGCUUGCUUUUGAUUCGUUAGCGGCGGACGGGUGAGUAACACGUGGGCAACCUGCCCUGUAGACGGGGAUAACACCGAGAAAUCGGUGCUAAUACCGGAUAACACGAAAUGUCGCAUGACGUUUCGUUGAAAGACGGCGCAAGCUGCCGCUACAGGAUGGGCCCGCGGCGCAUUAGCUAGUUGGUGAGGUAACGGCUCACCAAGGCGACGAUACGUAGCCGACCUGAGAGGGUGAUCGGCCACACUGGGACUGAGACACGGCCCAGACUCCUACGGGAGGCAGCAGUAGGGAAUCUUCCGCAAUGGACGAAAGUCUGACGGAGCAACGCCGCGUGAGCGAAGAAGGCCUUCGGGUCGUAAAGCUCUGUUGUUAGGGAAGAACAAGUAACGCAGUAACUGGCGUUACCGUGACGGUACCUAACGAGAAAGCCACGGCUAACUACGUG